CGUGGCGAAUAGCUCAGUAACACGUGGCCAAACUACCCUUCGGAGCACGAUACCCUCGGGAAACUGAGGUUAAUAGUGCAUACCACAAUCCAGCUGGAAUGAGGAUUGUGCCAAACGCUCCGGCGCCGAAGGAUGUGGCUGCGGCCGAUUAGGUAGACGGUGGGGUAACGGCCCACCGUGCCAAUAAUCGGUACGGGUCAUGAGAGUGAGAACCCGGAGACGGAAUCUGAGACAAGAUUCCGGGCCCUACGGGGCGCAGCAGGCGCGAAACCUUUACACUGCACGCCAGUGCGAUAAGGGAAUCCCAAGUGCGCAGGCAUAGAGCCUGCGCUUUUGUACACCGUAGGGAGGUGUACGAAUAAGGGCUGGGCAAGACCGGUGCCAGCCGCCGCGGUAAUACCGGCAGCCCAAGUGAUGGCCGAUUUUAUUGGGCCUAAAGCGUCCGUAGCUGGCCGCACAAGUCCAUCGGAAAAUCCACCCGCCCAACGGGUGGGCGUCCGGUGGAAACUGUGUGGCUUGGGACCGGAAGGCGCGACGGGUACGUCCGGGGUAGGAGUGAAAUCCUGUAAUCCUGGACGGACCGCCGAUGGCGAAAGCACGUCGCGAGGACGGAUCCGACAGUGAGGGACGAAAGCCAGGGUCUCGAACCGGAUUAGAUACCCGGGUAGUCCUGGCCGUAAACAAUGUCUGUUAGGUGUGGCUCCCACUACGAGUGGGUGCUGUGCCGCAGGGAAGCCGCUAAACAGACCGCCU
This 753-nucleotide ribosomal RNA is filed under the name Halorubrum sp. RNAcentral describes it as "bacterial SSU rRNA". It matches the Rfam family "Archaeal small subunit ribosomal RNA", at positions 77 to 829 of the family's 1478-position model. The record is from RNAcentral. Lineage: Archaea; Methanobacteriati; Methanobacteriota; Halobacteria; Halobacteriales; Haloferacaceae.